UCCUUCCUAGCAGUGUCCUCAGAGGUGGGGCAGGGAUGGGGGCGAGAGGAGGACAGAGGUUCUCUUUCUGCGGGAGGGAAAGGAAGGCAUUGCCGCUACUGCAGCAGUAAAGGAUUUGAAAGAGUCCCCAGCUUUCCCUUUCCCAGAUGGUGAAGGAGUUUCUCAGGUGCUCUUUAUUGGAGGUGGAUAAAGGUUUCGUCAUCCACACCUGACAUGUUAUUGUAAGAAAGAACUUAGGACCGUGAGUGUGGGACAUGUGUACCUGUAGCCGCCUCCUCAUGUGCUUCUCCACCCAGCCCACCACCACGCAUUCUGAAGAAAGAUUGGCGUCAGUUGUGUGUCCCUUCGUGACCUCUUGGCACGGUGUUUAAGAGCAUGCCUGCACUCCGGAGUUAUUAAUA
This is a long non-coding RNA of Talpa occidentalis (Iberian mole), 401 nucleotides long. RefSeq lists it as uncharacterized. Lineage: Eukaryota; Metazoa; Chordata; Mammalia; Eulipotyphla; Talpidae. The transcript is spliced from 4 exons. The record is from RefSeq and is a predicted model, not a curated record.